UACGUAGGGUGCGAGCGUUAAUCGGAAUUACUGGGCGUAAAGUGUGCGCAGGCGGCCGCGCAAGUCGAGUGUGAAAGCCCCGAGCUUAACUUGGGAAUUGCGCUCGAAACUACGUGGCUGGAGUGUGGCAGAGGAAGGUGGAAUUCCACGUGUAGCGGUGAAAUGCGUAGAUAUCGGGAGGAACACCUGCGGUGUAGACGGCUUACUGGACCGUAACUGACGCUGAGGCACGAAAGCGUGGGGAGCAAACAGG
Molecule: ribosomal RNA, 253 nt
Filed under: uncultured bacterium
Lineage: Bacteria
Description: partial 16S ribosomal RNA
Rfam family: Bacterial small subunit ribosomal RNA
Source: RNAcentral